CAAUACCUGUGUGAGAUCCUGCAAAGGGAAAUCAACCCAGGGUCUGCUAUGCCCAUGGACAAAAAGAGCAGACACGGAGAGCAUGCCUGGGCUGUGCUGAGAAGGUUAGCCCAGGAGAGCAGGGCAUGAGAAAGUGUACAAGCGUGGCCUAAUGCCAAGAUGGGGACAAGAGUUCUUUGUUUUGGGUGCAGGGAUGGCCGUGGACCUUGCAGACCCUACACCAACAUACCCUGUUGGGUGCUGCGGAGAGGUGAAGAACGAAAUGGUUGGCACAGAGAUGAAGCAGACUGAAGUAGGGACAAACACAAGGGUGGAGCAGUCCAUGAUGAGUUCUCAGACCCUGAUGGAAAAGGUUUUGGCGGAUGCAGCGGCAGUAGCAAAAAGCUACAGAAGAAGCUAAAGUCUUCAAAAUAGGCUCUGUAAGCAGCUGUUAAUGAGACUGAGUGGCUGCAGGAAGAGCGUUGGGAUACUGCAGAAGAGAAGGAUUGCCUCUUAACUCUGAUGAGUGCGACCCAAGAAGGAGUGGACUAAAAGAUGGUCACCUGGCUGAAGGGCUGAGUUCCCAGCCAACAAACUGCCAUAGUUCCCUAGCGACUAUCGGCGAGGGCGCUAGACCAGCAAGAAAGCUGUGACACCAGGCCUGGCCAGAAAGGGGCACCUAUCUGCUCUGAGCAAGGCCUGUGCAGAGCCAUGGAUGCCAUGCUGAAGAGCUCGCUGACAGCAACCCCCAGCACAGACAAACUCCAGCACAUCUUGGAGGUUCUGUCCCAGCCUCUCACACAGAUGUAUCCUGCAGCCAGCCCAGCUCCGGGAGCAGUAGUGACAGGUGAUCUCCUCCUGUCAAACCAAGCAACAUGGGUCUCAUUGAGGCUCAGAUGGAAGUUCCCGUGCAUCUCCUGGAGAGGAUGUGCCUGGGAUUCUGGAGACAGUUUCCUGCAGGAGGUCUGAGUGGGGAGAGAGCACUCACUGUUAUGACCCAUAGGUCUUCAAACAAGGUCUGCAGGGUUUGUGGGAGCAGCCACACUCCAGCCCUCCACCCAGAAGCCUGUUUACUGCAAACUGCUUACCACAGUUUGAGGCUCCAUCCCUGAGUUCCUAUUGGCGGAGUCCCAGAGCAGCUAAUUGAUGCCCUGGCCCUCCUUAAGCCAGCACAGAAACAGGAAGUUCUCUGAACACCUGAGCUUCUCCCUGUUCGAGACCAUGUGCUACCUGCUCCAGCUCCCGCUGCCCCAGCUUGAUUUCCUGGCAUCCAGACUCGGUGUGACUCAUGGCAUCCGAUUUGUGGCUGUGAUCGCAAUUUUGUCUUUUGCUUUGGAUCUUCCAGUAUCCUGACCCAGCUGACUCUCGACUCCUGUCUUGUGAGUGUGGACUCUGGCUCUGACCACUAGGUCUGGCUGCCCCGACCUGGCCAUGACACUGACUUUUGUACAAUUUCUCCAAUGCCCUUUUCUGCUCUCCAGCUCUGCUCCCUCCAGUAAGACACACCAAUCCCUUGGCUCCCAGAGUCCUAGUUGCCUGCUAUUCCAGAGCUGAGGGGUAGUGCUUGUAUUGCCCCCACCACAGCUGCUUUUCCUAUGGGAAUCUCCCUAGAGCAGAGGAGAAAUUUCCUCUUCUCUUAGGAUCAGUCCUGGCAGUAACUCCACCCACCCUGGCCUCAGCUGAGCUACUUUCUUUACCUGGGAUCAGGGACCAGUUUUGAAGUUUUUUGCAUGUGGGUGUAGGUGGGGGCAGAGGCUCAAGCUCCAGCAGUUCCCACUGGAGGACACCGCCCUGUCUUUCUAUGGUCUGACUAGGGCUCACCAUCCAUCCUGGAGCUGAACACCAGAUGGGAGCUGAUAGAUUGUCCUUGGUGGGCCAUGUCCUUGUGUGGGAUGGAGCUGUGUGCCAGAGAGGGCCAGGAGCAGAUGCACCACGCAUGGCCAGGAAUGGGUUAAACAGCCUGUAAUGCCAGGGGAAUACAACCAUGGCCACAUACAGACACCUUGGGCAUCCAUGGGGACUGAAUCUGGCCUUCGCUGCCAAGAGCACAAUUCACUCCAACCUGAGUCAUUACGGUAGUGACCCCUGGCAGCCCCUCUGGGGGGGGGGGGUCAGUAUUAUCUCUGUUAGUUGGGGCACAGGGUCAGAAAGCGACUGGCUGCAAGGUCACCUACCACGUCACUGAGCGAGGCAGGACUGAAGCACAGCCCUGAUACCAGUCCAGCUCCAACCACUAGACCACACCCACUUCCAAAGCCAGAGAACCCAGGAGCCCUGACUCUCACAGCCAGUCUUUAAAUGACAAGAGCAAACUCCCUCCCACUCAGGAAGCCAUAGAAAGGACCAUCUGCUGAGCCUCGCUCUGCAAUGCCACUGUCAGAGACCAUUGCUGGUGGGUGCCAGGUGACUGAGCAGGGAGCUCCUGGAGAGACUCCUAGGGAAUGGUCAGUCAUGUUUCACUGUGACCCUCUGGGAGCCAUGCAAAGAAUGCAGCAUUGAAGAGACUCUCCUGCUCUAACAAAGGGUUUCUGUUCUCCUCGAUAGUCAGCCAGUGAGGCCAGCUUGCAGAAUGUGGAAGAGCCAUUUGGUGAUGGGUUGGAGGAUUCACCAUGUAGGUGGCAGCAUGUGGAAGUGAAAGAGCAAAGCUGGACUAUCUGCUGAGCUGCUGCAGUCCAGUGAGCACAGCCAGGGAGAGAAGAGGGAGAUCUCGAAGGUGGCUGGCGGCUGCAGGGAGGAAAAGCAGUCUGGGAGCCAGGAGAAUAGAAAUAAAUAGUUAAUGAUGAAUACGGCAGGCUUUGUGUUGUGUGGUGAAGGGUUAACAGUGAGUCUCUUUACUAUCACAGUAAACUUUAAAAUAGCUGUGUAUGAUGAAAGGGCAGGUCUAUAAAGGUAAGAGGUCACUCUAGGGGUUUGAAGUCUCAGAUUUUGUCGCUAUUGCCUGCUUCUACCAGCUGAUCUCAACCCAACAAAUCCCUGAGAUGGUAGCAGUAGUGAGCUCUUGUCCUCUAUUUCUGGAUUAACCCCGAGAAA
This is a long non-coding RNA of Mauremys reevesii (Reeves's turtle), 3009 nucleotides long. RefSeq lists it as uncharacterized. Lineage: Eukaryota; Metazoa; Chordata; Testudines; Geoemydidae. The transcript has 5 exons. The record is from RefSeq and is a predicted model, not a curated record.